UACAUAAAACAUUUUAAUUUUCCAAUAUGAAAAAGAAAGUUUUAAUUCAAAUUAUUGGCUUGAUGUUGAAAUUCCUUCUAGAUUUUAUUUAUGAAAAAAUAUAACUUUACCUUGAUAUAUAAUAUCUAUAAAGAUGUAACUAGGCAGCUUUCAUACAAUUGUGAGGGCCAAACAUUCUUCCUUGAAUUGUUUUGAAAGACAGGACUCUUUCAUAUUCACAAUAUAAAAACUAUUAAUGGUAGAAGUAUAACUUUGCAUUCACUUUUAGAACAUGUUUAGGUCAACAAUAAUCAGAUGAAAAUCACAUAUCACUGUGAAUGCAAGGAAAAUAAUAAUUUGGCAUUAAUGUAAUACAAUCAUAGAUAUAACCAGAUGCUCCGCAGGGUGCAGCUUUAUACGACCGCAGAGGUUGAACCCUGAACGGUUGGGGCAAGUAUGGACACAACAUUCA
Molecule: long non-coding RNA, 451 nt
Filed under: Mytilus galloprovincialis (Mediterranean mussel)
Lineage: Eukaryota; Metazoa; Mollusca; Bivalvia; Mytilida; Mytilidae
Source: RNAcentral